Oncorhynchus keta (chum salmon) is the source of this 2676-nucleotide long non-coding RNA. RefSeq lists it as uncharacterized. Lineage: Eukaryota; Metazoa; Chordata; Actinopteri; Salmoniformes; Salmonidae. The transcript is spliced from 6 exons. The record is from RefSeq and is a predicted model, not a curated record.
ACCCCCUCCAGGUGUCUCCCAUCUCCCCCACCUGUCCUUGUCUCCACCCCCUCCAGGUGUCUCCCAUCUUCCCCACCUGUCCUUGUCUCCACCCCCUCCAGGUGUCUCCCAUCUUCCCCACCUGUCCUUGUCUCCACCCCCUCCAGGUGUCUCCCAUCUUCCCCACCUGUCCUUGUCUCCACCCCCUCCAGGUGUCUCCCAUCUUCCCCACCUGUCCUUGUCUCCACCCCCUCCAGGUGUCUCCCAUCUUCCCCACCUGUCCUUGUCUCCACCCCCUCCAGGUGUCUCCCAUCUUCCCCACCUGUCCUUGUCUACAACCCCUCCAGGUGUCUCCCAUCUUCCCCACUUGUCCUCUGGGUAUUUAAACCUGUGUUUUCUGUCUGUCUGUUACCAGUUUGUCUGGUUUGUUCAAGUCAACCAGAGGUUUGUCUCAGCGCCUGCUUUGCCACAGUCUCUCGUUUCCCCCCUUGUCCUCCUGGUUUUGACCCUUGCCUGUCCUGACCCUGGGCCUGCCUGCAGUCCUGUACCUUGGCCCCACUACCUGGAUUAUCAACCCCUGCCUGACCCUGGGCAUGCCUGCCGUCUUGUACCUUGGCCCCACUACCUGGAUUAUCGACCCCUGCCUGACCCUGGGCCUGCCUGCCGUCCUGUACCUUGGCCCCACUACUCUGGAUUAUCGACCCCUGCCUGACCCUGGGCCUGCCUGCCUGCCGUCCUGUACCUUGGCCCUACUCUGGAUUAUUGACCCCUGCCUGACCCUUGCACUGCCUGCCGUCCUGUACCUUUGCCCCUACUAUGGAUUAUCGACCCCUGCCUGACCCUGGGCCUGCCUGCCGUCCUGUACCUUGGCCCUACUACCGGGAUUAUCGACCCCUGCCUGACCCGGUGCCUGCCUGCCGUCCUGUGCCCUUUGCCCCUACUCUGGAUUAUUGACCCCUGCCUGACCCUGCGCCUGCCUGCCGUCCUGUACCUUGGCGGCCCUACUACCUGGAUUACCGACCCCUCCCUGACCCUGACCCUGAGCCUGCCUGCCGUCCUGUACCUUGGCCCCACUACCCUGGAUUAUCGACCCCUGCCUGACCCUGACCCUGAGCCUGCCUGCCGUCCUGUACCUUGGCCCCACUACCCUGGAUUAUCGACCCCUGCCUGCCUUGACCUGUCGUUUGCCUCCCCCCUGUUGUUGCAAUAAACAUUGUUUCUUCAACACGUCUGCACUUGGGUCUUACCUGAAACCUGAUAUCAGCACAGUGUUUGUAUUGAUUAGAUGGCUGUAUUGUGGACCUCAGCACAGUGUUUGUAUUGACUGGAGCAUUUCUCCGUCAGUGCAGGGUUCCCCAGAGUGUGUCCUCCAUCCAAUGAAUGCAUGGCUGUGUUGUUUACCACGGUUCGGUUUUUCUGAUGAAAGCGUGGUUGUUUGGAGGAUCUCAGUCAUCAAUGGGCUUUUCUGAUAAGGUUGUCAAUGUGUGGUUUGACUUAUCAAUAUGCCUUUUUUGUUGUUGAAGGAAAUGCUUUGUGCUGUAGGCCUGUAAUAUAACUCAACAUGAUUUUUUUCAAUGACAGCAGCACGUUGUAGAUAAACUAGCCAAAAAAUCUUUCUGAUUCAGACAUUUGAUAGUGGGGCAACUCAUCAAUAUGCUUUUUCUGAUGAAGACGACGCUUUGUGAGCGCAUCAAAGUGUGGUUUAAACCACCGAUGUACCUGUCUGGUGUGUCUUGAUGAGCACAGUGGACAACCCAGUGAGGUGCAUGUUGAUUCAUGCAGCAGUACAGUCAGUACCUGUACCUGUCUGGUGUGUCUUGAUGAGCACAGUGGACAACCCAGUGAGGUGCAUGUUGAUUCAUGUAGCAGUUCAGUCAGUACCUGUACCUGUCUGGUGUGUCUUGAUGAGCACAGUGGACAACCCAGUGAGGUGCAUGUUGAUUCAUGCAGCAGUACAGUCAGUACCUGUACCUGUCUGGUGUGUCUUGAUGAGCACAGUGGACAACCCAGUGAGGUGCAUGUUGAUUCAUGCAGCAGUACAGUCAGUACCUGUACCUGUCUGGUGUGUCUUGAUGAGCACAGUGGACAACCCAGUGAGGUGCAUGUUGAUUCAUGCAGCAGUACAGUCAGUACCUGUACCUGUCUGGUGUGUCUUGAUGAGCACAGUGGACAACCCAGUGAGGUGCAUGUUGAUUCAUGCAGCAGUACAGUCAGUACCUGUACCUGUCUGGUGUGUCUUGAUGAGCACAGUGGACAACCCAGUGAGGUGCAUGUUGAUUCAUGUAGCAGUUCAGUCAGUACCUGUACCUGUCUGGUGUGUCUUGAUGAGCACAGUGGACAACCCAGUGAGGUGCAUGUUGAUUCAUGCAGCAGUACAGUCAGUACCUGUACCUGUCUGGUGUGUCUUGAUGAGCACAGUGGACAACCCAGUGAGGUGCAUGUUGAUGCAUGUAGCAGUUCAGUCAGUACCUGUACCUGUCUGGUGUGACGCUGCAGUGUUUCUCUGCUCCUAAAGACAAAGAAAAAAAGAGACAAAUAUGCGUUUCUAAUCUCUGUGCUGAAUGAAACUGAAACAAAGAGGAGGAACACAAAUACAGAAGCCUGGACACACACAAGAUAAGCUGAUUAAAGGGGAGAGAGGAGAGAGAGAGACACGCAGAGAAAGAAAGAGAGAGACACACAGAGACAGAGAGAGAG